This 500-nucleotide ribosomal RNA is filed under the name uncultured bacterium. RNAcentral's name for it is "bacterial SSU rRNA". It matches the Rfam family "Bacterial small subunit ribosomal RNA", at positions 903 to 1397 of the family's 1533-position model. The record is from RNAcentral.
AAAGGAAUUGACGGGGGCCCGCACAAGCGGUGGAGCAUGUGGUUUAAUUCGACGCAACGCGAAGAACCUUACCAGGGCUUGACAUCCUCUGACCGCAUAUGAAAGUAUGUUUUCUGGCUUCGGUCAGACAGAGAGACAGGUGGUGCAUGGUUGUCGUCAGCUCGUGUCGUGAGAUGUUGGGUUAAGUCCCGCAACGAGCGCAACCCCUACGUUUAGUUGCUAACGUGUAACGAUGAGCACUCUAGGCGGACUGCCGUUGACAAAACGGAGGAAGGUGGGGAUGACGUCAAAUCAUCAUGCCCCUUAUGUUCUGGGCUACACACGUGCUACAAUGGCCGGUACAAAGGGACGCAAAGCCGCGAGGUGGAGCAAAUCCGAUAAAAGCCGGUCUCAGUUCGGAUUGCAGGCUGCAAUUCGCCUGCAUGAAGUCGGAAUCGCUAGUAAUCGCAGGUCAGCAUACUGCGGUGAAUACGUUCCCGGGCCUUGUACACACCGCCCGU